RNAcentral lists this ribosomal RNA (506 nucleotides) under uncultured delta proteobacterium. Its description in RNAcentral is "bacterial SSU rRNA". It matches the Rfam family "Bacterial small subunit ribosomal RNA", at positions 400 to 896 of the family's 1533-position model. The record is from RNAcentral. Lineage: Bacteria; Deltaproteobacteria.
CGUGAGUGAAGAAGGCCUUCGGGUUGUAAAGCUCUGUCGGGAGGGACGAACAUACUUAGGGUUAACAGCCCUAGGUACUGACGGUACCUCUAAAGGAAGCACCGGCUAACUUCGUGCCAGCAGCCGCGGUAAUACGAGGGGUGCAAGCGUUGCUCGGAAUUAUUGGGCGUAAAGGGUAGGUAGGUGGUCUCAUUUGUCUGGGGUGAAAGCCUUGAGCUUAACUCAAGAAGUGCCCCGGAAACGGUGAGACUGGAGUCCUGGAGAGGGUCGUGGAAUUCCCGGUGUAGCGGUGAAAUGCGUAGAGAUCGGGAGGAACACCAGAGGCGAAGGCGGCGACCUGGACAGGUACUGACACUCAACUACGAAAGCGUGGGGAGCAAACAGGAUUAGAUACCCUGGUAGUCCACGCUGUAAACGAUGGGUACUAGGUUUGGCGGGUCUUGACCCCUGCUGAACCGGCGCUAACGCAAUAAGUACCCCGCCUGGGAAGUACGGUCGCAAGACUA